Molecule: ribosomal RNA, 735 nt
Filed under: uncultured Actinomycetes bacterium
Lineage: Bacteria; Bacillati; Actinomycetota; Actinomycetes
Description: bacterial SSU rRNA
Rfam family: Bacterial small subunit ribosomal RNA
Source: RNAcentral
ACGAACGCUGGCGGCGUGCUUAACACAUGCAAGUCGAACGCUGAAGCCUGGCUUUUGUUGGGUGGAUGAGUGGCGAACGGGUGAGUAACACGUGAGUAACCUGCCCUCUUCUUUGGGAUAACGCCCGGAAACGGGUGCUAAUACUGGAUAUUCACUUGCCUUCGCAUGGGGGUGGGUGGAAAGGGUUUUUUUCUGGUGGGGGAUGGGCUCGCGGCCUAUCAGCUUGUUGGUGGGGUGAUGGCUUACCAAGGCUUUGACGGGCAGCCGGCCUGAGAGGGUGACCGGUCACAUUGGGACUGAGAUACGGCCCAGACUCCUACGGGAGGCAGCAGUGGGGAAUAUUGCACAAUGGGCGCAAGCCUGAUGCAGCGACGCCGCGUGAGGGAUGGAGGCCUUCGGGUUGUGAACCUCUUUCGCUCAUGGUCAAGCCGCAACUCAUGGUUGUGGUGAGGGUAGUGGGUAAAGAAGCGCCGGCUAACUACGUGCCAGCAGCCGCGGUAAUACGUAGGGCGCGAGCGUUGUCCGGAAUUAUUGGGCGUAAAGGGCUUGUAGGCGGUUGGUCGCGUCUGCCGUGAAAUCCUCUGGCUUAACUGGGGGCGUGCGGUAGGUACGGGCUGACUUGAGUGCGGUAGGGGAGACUGGAACUCCUGGUGUAGCGGUGGAAUGCGCAGAUAUCAGGAAGAACACCGGUGGCGAAGGCGGGUCUCUGGGCCGUUACUGACGCUGAGGAGCGAA